CGAUGUUCUCGGACAGACCUCUUUUUUUUCAAAAGACCGAUCGGCGACGCUAUAGCUUUGGGUACUUUCAGGACCCGUCUUGAAACACGGACCAAGGAGUCUAGCAUGUGCGCGAGUCAUUGGGAAUCACUAAACCUAAAGGCGUAAUGAAAGUGAAGGUCUUCCUCGCGGAGACCGAGGGAAGACGGACGGUUAUACAUUGUACGAUGAUGGCCGUCCUGCAUUCCCGGGGCGUCUCGUUCACAUAGCGUGAAGAGGCGCACCAAGAGCGUACACGCUGGGACCCGAAAGAUGGUGAACUAUGCCUGGUCAGGACGAAGUCAGGGGAAACCCUGAUGGAGGUCCGUAGCGAUUCU
This 356-nucleotide ribosomal RNA is filed under the name Cyclorhipidion pruinosulum. Its description in RNAcentral is "partial 28S large subunit ribosomal RNA". It matches the Rfam family "Eukaryotic large subunit ribosomal RNA", at positions 575 to 887 of the family's 3401-position model. Lineage: Eukaryota; Metazoa; Arthropoda; Insecta; Coleoptera; Curculionidae. The record is from RNAcentral.